This 497-nucleotide ribosomal RNA is filed under the name uncultured bacterium. RNAcentral describes it as "partial 16S ribosomal RNA". It matches the Rfam family "Bacterial small subunit ribosomal RNA", at positions 28 to 507 of the family's 1533-position model. The record is from RNAcentral.
GAUGAACGCUGGCGGCGUGCCUAAUACAUGCCAGUCGAGCGAACAGAUGAGGAGCUUGCUCCUCUGACGUUAGCGGCGGACGGGUGAGUAACACGUGGAUAACCUACCUAUAAGACUGGGAUAACUUCGGGAAACCGGCGCUAAUACCGGAUAAUAUAUUGAACCGCAUGGUUCAAUAGUGAAAGACGGUUUUGCUGUCACUUAUAGAUGGAUCCGCGCCGUAUUAGCUAGUUGGUAAGGUAACGGCUUACCAAGGCAACGAUGCGUAGCCGACCUGAGAGGGUGAUCGGCCACACUGGAACUGAGACACGGUCCAGACGCCUACGGGAGGCAGCAGUAGGGAAUCUUCCGCAAUGGGCGAAAGCCUGACGGAGCAACGCCGCGUGAGUGAUGAAGGUCUUCGGAUCGUAAAACUCUGUUAUUAGGGAAGAACAAAUGUGUAAGUAACUAUGCACGUCUUGACGGUACCUAAUCAGAAAGCCACGGCUAACUACGUG